CCCUUAGAUGUUCUGGGCCGCACGCGCGCUACACUGAUGAAUUCAACGAGCUCCUAACCUAGGCCGAAGGGUCCGGGUAAUCUUUGAAAUUUCAUCGUGAUGGGGAUAGAUUAUUGCAAUUAUUAAUCUUCAACGAGGAAUUCCUAGUAAGCGCGAGUCAUCAGCUCGCGUUGAUUACGUCCCUGCCCUUUGUACACGCCGCCCGUCGCUCCUACCGAUUGAAUGGUCCGGUGAAAUGUUCGGAUCGCGGCAAAUCGGACGGGUAACCGUCAGGUUCGCUGCGAGAAGUUCAUUAAACCUUAUCAUUUAGAGGAAGGAGAAGUCGUAACA
Molecule: ribosomal RNA, 330 nt
Filed under: uncultured eukaryote
Lineage: Eukaryota
Description: partial 18S ribosomal RNA
Rfam family: Eukaryotic small subunit ribosomal RNA
Source: RNAcentral